This 2800-nucleotide long non-coding RNA is filed under the name Sus scrofa (pig). RNAcentral's name for it is "lncRNA (ENSSSCG00030048603.1)". The record is from RNAcentral. Lineage: Eukaryota; Metazoa; Chordata; Mammalia; Artiodactyla; Suidae.
GGUAUGUCAGAUUUAGGAAGGACAUCUGAGCCCCUCUAGUGGAAUUAGAGAAAUUAUCCAGCAUGCCAUCAGCAUUCCUGGAGAAGAGCUUACUCUAGAUAAAUAUCAGAUAAAGCCAUUUGCGUUUGGGAGGACUGUCAGUUCCAAAAUUCUGUGAUCAAGUUUAUUUUUAAAUUGAAGUAUGAUUGAUUUACAACAUUGCAUUAGCUUCAGGUGUACAGUAUAGUGAGUCAGUUAUGUAUGUAUAUAUAAAUUUCUGUAAAUUGUAUUCCAUUUAGGUUAUUAUAAUAUAUUGAAAAUAAUUCCCUGUGCUAUGCAGUAAGUCCUUGUUGCUUAUCUAUUUUAUAUGUAGUAGUUUGUAUCUGUUAAUCCCAUGCUCCUAAUUUGUUCCUUCCCCUACCUUGCCUUUUGGUAACCUUAAGUUUGAUUUCUAUGUCUGUGAGUCUAUGUUUUAUAUGUAGAGUCAUUUGUAUGAUUUUUUUAGAUUCCACAUAUAAAUGAUAUCAUAUAGUAUUUGUUUUUCUCUGACUUAUUUCACUAAGUAUAAUAUUCUUCAGUUCCAUCCAUGUUGCUAAAAAUGGUAAUAUUUCAUUCUUUUUAUGGCUGAAUAAUAGUUCAUUGUUCGUAUAUAUAUAUAUAUAUAUAUACACACACACACACACCACACUCACACACUCACACACACACACACACAUCUUCUUAAGCCAAUCAUUUUUUGAUGGGCACUUAGGUUGUUUCCAUAUCUUGGCUAUUGUAAAUAGCACUGCUGUGAACAUUGGGUGCAUGUGUCUUUUAGAAUUAGAGUUUUUGUUUUUUCCAGAUAUACACCCAGAGAGGGGAUUGCAGGAUCAUUGGUAGCUCUAUAUUUAGUUUUUAAAGAAAACUCUAUACUCUUUUCCAUACCAAUUUACAUUCCUCUGAACGGUGUAGGAGGGUUUCCUUUUCUCUACAUCCUCUCCAGCAUUUGUUAUUCAUAGACUUAUUAAUGAUGGCCAUUCUGACUGGUGUGAGUUUUUAUUCACAUUUCUUCAAUAAAUAGCAAUGCUGAGCAUCCUUUCAUGUGCCUACUGGCCAUCUAUAUGUCUUCUUUGGAGAAAUAUCUAUUUAGGUCUUCUGCCUAUUUUUUGAUUGGGUCGUUUAUUUUUUUGGAUAUUGACUUCUAAGAGCUAUUUGAAUGUUUUGGAUAUUACCUCCUUGUCAGUCCCAUCAUUUGCAAAUAUUUUCUCCCAUUAUGUCGGGUUUUUGUUUUCUUGAUGGUUCCCUUUGCUCUGCAGAAGCUUUUAAGUUUGAUGAGGUUCCAUUUGUUUAUUUUUGUUUCUAUUUCUUUUGCCUUGGGGAACUGAUCUAAGAAAAUAUUGCUACAAGUUAUGUCAAAGAAUGUUUUGCCUGUGUGCUCUUCCAGGAGUUCAAUGGUGUCGUGCCUUACAUUUAAGGCUUUAAACCAUUUUGAGUUUAUGUUUAUAUAUAGAAUGAGGGAAUGUUCUAAUUUCAUUAUUUACAUGUACCUGUCCAGCUUUCCUAACACCACUUAUUGAAAAGACUGUCUUUUUUCCAUUGUAUAUUCUUUUUUGUUUUCUUUUUAUGGCUGCACCUGAGGCAUAUGGAAGUUCCUGAGCUAGGGAUCAAAUCAGAGCUGCAGCUGCAGGCCUGUGCCGUAGCCACAGCAACACCAGAUCCAAGUCACAUCUUUGACUUAUACCGCAUGUUGCAGCAACACUGGAUCCCUAACCCACUGAGCAAGGCCGGGGAUCGAACCCACAUCCUCUCGGAUGCCAUGUUGGGUUCUUAACCCGCUGAGCCACAAAUGGGAACUCCCCAUUGUAUAUUCUUGCCUCCUUUGUUGUAGAUUAAUUGACAGUAGGUGUAUGAGUUUAUUUCUGGGCUCUCUAUUCUAUCCCAUUGAUCUAUCUAUCUGUUUGUGAGCCAGUACCAUGUUGUUUUGAUUACUUUACCUUUGUAGUAUAGCCUGAAGUCUGGAAGAGUUACACCUCCAGCUUUUUUUCCCCCCUUAGGAUUGCUUUGGCAAUGCUUGGACUUUUGUGGUUCCCAGGCUAGGGGUCCAAUCGGAGCUGUAGCUGCUGGCCUACGCCAGAGCCACAGCAACACAGGAUCCGAGCUGCGUCUGCAACCUACACCACAGCUCAGGAUCCUUAACCCACUCAGCAAGGCCAGGGACCGAACCCACAACCUCAUGGUUCCUAGUCAUAUUCAUUAACCACUGAGCCACGACAGGAACUCCUGCAAUUUCCUUUAUUAAUGUUUAUAGUUUGCAGCAUAUAGGUCUUUCACCUCCUUGGUUGAGUUUAUUCCUAGGUACUUUUUUUUUUUGACACAAUUUUAAACAGGAUUUUUUUUUAAAACUUUCUGAUAUUUCAUUAUCAGUGUAAAAAAAAUGCAGUGGGUUUCCAUAUACUAAUCUUGUAUCCUACUACAUUGCUGAAUUCACUUAUCAAUUCCAAUAGUUUUUAUGUGGAGACUUUAGGGUUCUCCAUAUAGAAUAUCAUGUCAUGUGCAAAUAGUGACAGUCUAAGAAUCCAGUUUGAGGGGUUCCCAUCAUGGCUCAGCAAGUGGUUAAUGAACCCGGCUAGUAUCCAUGAGGACUCAGAUUCGAUCCCUGGCCUUGCUGCUCAGUGGGUUAAGGAUCUGGCAUUGCCGUGAGUUGUGGUGUAGGUCGCAGAUGAGGCUUGGAUCCCGCAUUGCUGUGGCUGUGGUGUAUGCCAGUGACUGGUCGCAUAAUUCAACCCCUAGCCUGGGAACCUCCAUAUGCCUAGGGUUCAGCCCUAAAAAAAAAAAAAAAAAA